Molecule: long non-coding RNA, 730 nt
Filed under: Brassica napus (rape)
Lineage: Eukaryota; Viridiplantae; Streptophyta; Magnoliopsida; Brassicales; Brassicaceae
Description: long non-coding RNA (BNAP_LNC024280)
Source: RNAcentral
AAUAAAAUUCUACAAUUCAUAUUUUUAGAUUUUUUUUUUUACUUUUAAAAUGAAAUACAUUAAUUAAAGUUAGAAUAUUAAUCUUUUGUAUACAAAAGAAGCCAAAACAUCAGUUGUAAACCGUACUCAAAGUUAAAUCAUUUUAUAAGUAUUUAUUUAUUGAAUAAAAGCCUACUAGUUAGACUCUGGUUUCCUCUCAUGUUUUACUACAAAUAAUAAUUCAUCUGAAGUGGCCUUUACUUUGUUACAAACCGACACAAAAGUAUUUAUUGAAUAAAAGCCUACUAGUUAGACUCUGGUUUCCUUUCCUCUCAUGUUUUACUACAAAUAAUAAUUCAUCUGAAAUGGCCUUUACUUUGUCACAAACCGACACACGUUUAAAUUUCUUUUGGCUCUCUCUUAUCGCUGUCUUUAAAACUCAGCUCUAAACAUAAUCCUUCCAUUUCAGAAGUGUCAGUUUAUGGCUAAUUUUGUUUUAAACUGAGUUUAGUUUUAGAGUUGCAAAUACAAAGUUUUAACAUAAGUUUCAACUUUCAAUUAUAACCAUAUUUUCCGUUAUAUUAAAUUAUAAAAAUAUGGAGUAUAUUCAGGUCUGAGUAUAUUUUUAUUUUUUCCUUAAAUAUACCAUUUGUAUUAGCUGAAACAUUUAAUAAGGGUUAUAGUGAAAAACUAAUACUCCUUUCUUAACAGGUGCGCGAGAUGUUUAAAACAUUUAAAUUAAACGUUAAAG